RNAcentral lists this non-coding RNA (21 nucleotides) under Caenorhabditis elegans. Lineage: Eukaryota; Metazoa; Nematoda; Chromadorea; Rhabditida; Rhabditidae. The record is from RNAcentral.
UACGUGAACUUUUUGAAACUU